CCCUUAGAUGUUCUGGGCCGCACGCGCGCUACAACGGUCUUCGCAAACGGAUGCAUUCUCGAAGGAGAAUGCCAAUCUUGGAAUCUAUGCCUUGGUCGGGACAGUUGCUUGCAAUUUUUCGACUCGAACCAGGAAUUCCUUGUAAUCGUGAUUCAUCACAUCACGAUGAAUACGUCCCUGCCCUUUGUACACACCGCCCGUCGCUCCUACCGAUCGAAGAGUUAGGUGAAUUGUUUUGAUCGAUAAGAUUUGACUAUGGUCAACUCUCGUUGUGAAAUUCUGUGAAUCUGACUGUUUAGAGGAAGGAAAAGUCGUAACA
RNAcentral lists this ribosomal RNA (319 nucleotides) under uncultured eukaryote. Its description in RNAcentral is "partial 18S ribosomal RNA". It matches the Rfam family "Eukaryotic small subunit ribosomal RNA", at positions 1470 to 1796 of the family's 1831-position model. The record is from RNAcentral.